Molecule: ribosomal RNA, 407 nt
Filed under: bacterium enrichment culture clone ALO1_GLFRUDD03GEOJX
Lineage: Bacteria
Description: bacterial SSU rRNA
Rfam family: Bacterial small subunit ribosomal RNA
Source: RNAcentral
GAGUUUGAUCUUGGCUCAGAUUGAACGCUGGCGGCAUGCCUUACACAUGCAAGUCGAACGGCAGCACGGGAGCUUGCUCCUGGUGGCGAGUGGCGAACGGGUGAGUAAUGCAUCGGAACGUAUCCUGGAGUGGGGGAUAACGUAGCGAAAGUUACGCUAAUACCGCAUAUUCUGUGAGCAGGAAAGCGGGGGACCUUCGGGCCUCGCGCUCUUGGAGCGGCCGAUGUCGGAUUAGCUAGUUGGUGAGGUAAAGGCUCACCAAGGCGACGAUCCGUAGCAGGUCUGAGAGGAUGAUCUGCCACACUGGGACUGAGACACGGUCCAGACUCCUACGGGAGGCAGCAGUGGGGAAUUUUGGACAAUGGGGGCAACCCUGAUCCAGCCAUGCCGCGUGAGUGAAGAAGGCC